RNAcentral lists this ribosomal RNA (951 nucleotides) under Daphnia pulicaria. RNAcentral describes it as "eukaryotic LSU rRNA". It matches the Rfam family "Eukaryotic large subunit ribosomal RNA", at positions 158 to 863 of the family's 3401-position model. The record is from RNAcentral. Lineage: Eukaryota; Metazoa; Arthropoda; Branchiopoda; Diplostraca; Daphniidae.
GCGCGUCUGUCCGGUAUCUAUCGUCCAARUCUCCAUGAACGGGGCGAGCAACCCACAGAGGGUGUCAGGCCCGUAGAUAAGACGAGCCGAGACCGUGCAUCGGAUCCCUUCCCAAGAGUCGGGUUGCUUGAGCGUGCAGCCCUAAGCGGGAGGUAAACUCCUUCUAAGGCUAAAUAUCGCCACGAGACCGAUAGCGAACAAGUACCGCGAGGGAAAGUUGAAAAGAACUUUGAAGAGAGAGUUCAAGAGUGCGUGAAACCGUUCAGGGGGUUAAACGGGUGGGCCCUCGAAGGUCGAACAAGUCCCCGCUCCCGGCACUUGGUUGUAUGCCCUUAACGCUGCGUGGAGACUGCCUGAAUUGGCGGCUCUCUUGCAUAAGUCGCUCUGCGAUCGCAAUAGCCACGCCAAGGUCCGCAAGUGGGGGGCCUAGUAGGACUCCGCGACCGACUGGGUGUCUGUUACACGGGGCGUCCGUUAGCGAGUUUCGUGGUUACCUUCGCGGGUGCCGCGAUGACGAGCGCGGCGUUUCCCAACAGUACUGCCCGGUCGUGACCUGUCUCCUCCCGGGAGGUGUCGUAGCUUUUUUUUGUAAAAGAGAAAAAGUUGCGGUGCUCAACCUGUGGAGGCCCAGAGCGGAGAGUAGAANNNNNNNNNNNNNNGACCCGUCUUGAAACACGGACCAAGGAGUCUAACAUGUGCGCAAGUCGUCGAGAAAUUAUCAAACUAAACUCGCGAGGCGCAAUGAAAGUGAAGCGGCCCCGAUGAGGGUGCAUCCGCGAGGGGUGAUCCCGUCUCGAACAGAGCGGGCGCAACCCCAGGGCGUCCGAAUGCUCGCGAGAUCUUUCCCCCUUAAAAGGGUUUGGUCGAGUCGGCCGGACGAACCCAGAGCGCACACGUUGGGACCCGAAAGAUGGUGACCUAUGCCUGGCCAGGACGAAGCCAGGGGAAACC